RNAcentral lists this ribosomal RNA (352 nucleotides) under uncultured Racocetra. RNAcentral's name for it is "SSU rRNA". It matches the Rfam family "Eukaryotic small subunit ribosomal RNA", at positions 569 to 929 of the family's 1831-position model. The record is from RNAcentral. Lineage: Eukaryota; Fungi; Glomeromycota; Glomeromycetes; Diversisporales; Gigasporaceae.
AGCAGCCGCGGUAAUUCCAGCUCCAAUAGCGUAUAUUAAAGUUGUUGCAGUUAAAAAGCUCGUAGUUGAAUUUCGGGGUUCUACCGUUGGUCGGGCUUUGUCUGUACUGGCGUGUAGAAUUUCUACCUUCUGGUGAACCAUCAUGUUAUUAAUUUAACGUGGUGGGAAACCAGGACCUUUACCUUGAAAAAAUUAGAGUGUUCAAAGCAGGCUUAUGUCUGAAUACAUUAGCAUGGAAUAAUAGAAUAGGACGGUGGUCCUGUUUUGUUGGUUUCUGAAUCACCGUAAUGAUUAAUAGGGAUAGUUGGGGGCAUUAGUAUUCAAUUGUCAGAGGUGAAAUUCUUGGAUUUAU